CGGCUUCCUACGGGAGGCAGCAGUGGGGAAUUUUGGACAAUGGGCGCAAGCCUGAUCCAGCAAUGCCGCGUGAGUGAAGAAGGCCUUCGGGUUGUAAAGCUCUUUUGUCAGGGAAGAAACGGUGAGAGCUAAUAUCUUUUGCUAAUGACGGUACCUGAAGAAUAAGCACCGGCUAACUACGUGCCAGCAGCCGCGGUAAUACGUAGGGUGCAAGCGUUAAUCGGAAUUACUGGGCGUAAAGCGUGCGCAGGCGGUUAUGUAAGACAGAUGUGAAAUGCCCGGGCUUAACCUGGGAACUGCAUUUGUGACUGCAUGGCUAGAGUGUGUCAGAGGGGGGUAGAAUUCCACGUGUAGCAGUGAAAUGCGUAGAUAUGUGGAGGAAUACCGAUGGCGAAGGCAGCCCCCUGGGAUAACACUGACGCUCAUGCACGAAAGCGUGGGGAGCAAACAGGAUUAGAUACCCUGGUAGUCCACGCCCUAAACGAUGUCUACUAGUUGUCGGGUCUUAAUUGACUUGGUAACGCAGCUAACGCGUGAAGUAGACCGCCUGGGGAGUACGGUCGCAAGAUUAAAACUCAAAGGAAUUGACGGAAGC
This 595-nucleotide ribosomal RNA is filed under the name uncultured bacterium. RNAcentral's name for it is "bacterial SSU rRNA". It matches the Rfam family "Bacterial small subunit ribosomal RNA", at positions 332 to 920 of the family's 1533-position model. The record is from RNAcentral.